Molecule: ribosomal RNA, 253 nt
Filed under: uncultured bacterium
Lineage: Bacteria
Description: partial 16S ribosomal RNA
Rfam family: Bacterial small subunit ribosomal RNA
Source: RNAcentral
UACGUAGGGGGCGAGCGUUGUCCGGAAUUAUUGGGCGUAAAGAGCGUGUAGGCGGUUCGGUAAGUCUGCCGUGAAAACCCAGGGCUCAACCCUGGGCGUGCGGUGGAUACUGCCGGGCUAGAGGGUGGUAGAGGCGAGUGGAAUUCCCGGUGUAGCGGUGAAAUGCGCAGAUAUCGGGAGGAACACCGGUGGCGAAGGCGGUUCUCUGGGCCUGUACUGACGCUGAGGAGCGAAAGCGUGGGGAGCGAACAGG